AUUGCCCUUACGGCUCAGUAACACGUAGUCAACAUGCCCAGGGGACGUGGAUAACCUCGGGAAACUGAGGCUAAACCGCGAUAGGCCAAGAUUUCUGGAAUGGAUCAUGGCUCAAAUCUAUAUGGCCUCUGGAUUGGACUGCGGCCGAUCAGGCUGUUGGUGAGGUAAUGGCCCACCAAACCUAAAACCGGUACGGGCUCUGAGAGGAGAAGCCCGGAGAUGGGCACUGAGACAAGGGCCCAGGCCCUAUGGGGCGCAGCAGGCGCGAAAACUCUGCAAUAAGCGAAAGCUUGACAGGGUUAUUCUGAGUGAUUUCCGCUAAGGAAAUCUUUUGGCACCUCUAAAAAUGGUGCAGAAUAAGGGGUGGGCAAGUCUGGUGUCAGCCGCCGCGGUAAUACCAGCACCCCGAGUGGUCGGGACGAUUAUUGGGCCUAAAGCAUCCGUAGCCGGUACUGCAAGUCUUCCGUUAAAUCCACCUGCUUAACAGUUGGGCUGCGGGAGAUACUACAGCGCUAGGAGGCGGGAGAGGCAAGCGGUACUCAAUGGGUAGGGGUAAAAUCCGCUGAUCCAUUGAAGACCACCAGUGGCGAAGGCGGCUUGCCAGAACGCGCUCGACGGUGAGGGAUGAAAGCUGGGGGAGCAAACCGGAUUAGAUACCCGGGUAGUCCCAGCUGUAAACGAUGCAGACUCGGUGAUGGGUUGGCCUUGUGCCAACCCAGUGCCGCAGGGAAGCCGUUAAGUCUGCCGCCUGGGGAGUACGGUCGCAAGACUGAAACUUAAAGGAAUUGGCGGGGGAGCAC
Molecule: ribosomal RNA, 800 nt
Filed under: uncultured bacterium
Lineage: Bacteria
Description: bacterial SSU rRNA
Rfam family: Archaeal small subunit ribosomal RNA
Source: RNAcentral